UCUAAUUUUUCUAUAAUGUCUUCUGUGGAAGCUUAUAGAAAUAACAUGAGGCGGUGUCUCUGCCUGUUAUUGGUGUUCAUCACUCUAUCAUCGGCCGUGACACAAGUAGUUCGCCAGAAGUUUGUAUCGGGCAGGACCAACACCCUCACCACUUUUGUCACUUCCACAGCUUCGACAGCCUCAACGACAGUUGUAACGACGAGAUCCAUCUGCGCAUCUCUGAUUGAACCCGUGGCUACAACUCCAUGUCGUCGUAAGAGACAGUUCUGGAACGUCCCUCUUUUCUUCGCACUCGGUCAUCAGGAUGAUGCUUUUCAAUUCCAGCGUGUGAAUCCCAGUCAAGUGCUCAGAGUUGAACCAUCUGUCCUCCCUGAAUAUCGAUACCGUCCAUCUUCGUUUGUUCGUCCAUUUGCUGGCCAGGAGCCAUUAAGUUCACCUCUGGGUCUUCAACCAUCGUUCGACAGGAUGCAACCGGUUAGUUUCCGCGUUGCCGAUCCGUUCUUCGGUGCUGUCAAAUUUUCCGCAUUAUCUGCCAUCUACGCCAACAUUUUAAACAGCCUAUUGACCCCAGCCACCACGGUCACUAGGACAACAACCGUGUUCCCUGCAACGAUAACAAAUACGUUGUUUACGGAAACCGUUACCCUGACGCUAAAUCAAGCAGCCUGCGUUCCAGCUGGAUUGACUAUAUGCCCGGCAGCACCGACCACCACUACCACUCCUUCAACCACUACCACUGCUUCAACCACUACCACUCCUUCAACCACUACCACUCCUUCAACCACUACCGCUCCUUCAACCACUACCGCUCCUUCAACCACUACCGCUCCUUCAACCACUACCGCUCCUUCAAACACUACCACUCUUUAAACCACUACCACUUCUGCAACCAAGAACUAUUUCUUCGUCUGUCUCCGUUUAAACGCCAUGAUCUAUUCAACUUUAUAAACAAUGCACCAUAGUCUCGAGGUAGUCUAUAAACAAAACCACUUAAAUAACCUACGACGCACAUCGACAUUGUUCGACGUCACUGCAAGUUUAAAAAUAGCGCCCUCGAUGCGCAAGAACGUCAGUUUCACUACAAUGUCGUCUCAAACUUGUAAAAUAUUUUGGGUUCUUUGCCUACUGGCAAGUGCUUUUGAAUGUUGGGGAAACGAUGAAGCCCGCUGUGAUUGUGAGCGAAUGAAUAAAAAGGUAGACCUUCAUACCGACCACCUGGCCAACCUUGUAAGCUACAAAAGAAACACGGAAGUACUAAUCGAAUGGCAGAAGACAUUUAACAUAUCAAAUUAUGAACACCACAAUAAAGAUGUAACGCAGAAACUCAAGGGGAUCCAAGAUUUUAUUGCCGAAUUAAAAAUCCGGGCAGAGAAGGUGGAGAAUGAGCUAGUCGAAUACCGCAAGAUAACUCAAAAGUUGGACGGCUGGAUUGAAGGAUCUAACAUCACAAUUGCUAACGUCGUGAAAACAACUUUACAAUCUACUACUUAUGUAUCUGAUGUCGAAGUAAUAACAACAACGCUGAAGCCGGCUAGAGUUGAAGCUCUUACAGAGAGGACCAGACCUCGACAAACUCCUGAACAGACAAUUUUUGAGCAGAUGAAGUUGAUGGUGGCCAAUUUGACGACUGAAAUGGCCGUGAUGCGUAACUAUAAGCUCCCACGUCUCGAAUUGAAAGUUGCAGCAAUCGAAGCAAAACUUCCAGUUAACUGAGAAGCCCUACUACGUCCGCGAACCCCAAACAGAUUUUGUGGUGACGUUCCGGGUAGCACUUGAAUUUCAGUUUUGUUCAAAAUGGCCUGCCUCAGCUUAUGUCUGACUGAAAUUUUUACUGGGAUGGUUUUCGAACAAAAAUGUCUCUAUGUACUGCAUUUACCAUCAACAUAGUGUGUACAAGAAAUUGGCGAACUGCUUUGGCCCAGAUUGAAAUAACGCUUUAAUGAACCAUUUUGUGAAUUUUCAAUAUUUUUCCAAGACGUUGCUUUGCAGUUGCCAUCCCUUUCUUCGGCUUUUUCGCUAAGUUUACUAGAAGAUGUGAAUUAUAUUGAUUGUUAGAUGCAA
Molecule: RNA transcript, 2061 nt
Organism: Daphnia magna
Lineage: Eukaryota; Metazoa; Arthropoda; Branchiopoda; Diplostraca; Daphniidae
Gene name: integumentary mucin C.1
Exons: 9
Source: RefSeq, a predicted model, not a curated record